RNAcentral lists this long non-coding RNA (331 nucleotides) under Prunus persica (peach). RNAcentral describes it as "long non-coding RNA (PPER_LNC005044)". The record is from RNAcentral. Lineage: Eukaryota; Viridiplantae; Streptophyta; Magnoliopsida; Rosales; Rosaceae.
UGAGCACAAAAAACAAUCUCACGUGGAAAAAAAAGGUCUCAUGGGUUAGGGUGGGAUUUGAGAUAGGGAUACAUCUCACUAAAAAGUCUCACACAAUUUCUCAUUUGAAAAAAUCCUUCGAAAUUAACAAGUUUUUGAAUACCAUAAGACUUUUUGUUACUUGUUUAAAGUCUUGAUUGAAUACCACAAGAUUUUGACACUCUCUUUAAAAAAUCCUAAUAGUCUUAACGGAAUACCACAAGACUUGUUUAGAUUAUUUAAAAGUCUUAAUUGAAUACCACAAGACUUAUUUAUCCCAAAAUAAUCUUUUAAAAUCUCUAUUGAAUAUACC